UGACAUCACNGAACUUACAGAGAUGNUUUGGUGCCUUCGGGAACUCUGAGACAGGUGCUGCAUGGCUGUCGUCAGCUCGUGUUGUGAAAUGUUGGGUUAAGUCCCGCAACGAGCGCAACCCUUAUCCUUUGUUGCCAGCGGUCCGGCCGGGAACUCAAAGGAGACUGCCAGUGAUAAACUGGAGGAAGGUGGGGAUGACGUCAAGUCAUCAUGGCCCUUACGAGUAGGGCUACACACGUGCUACAAUGGCGCAUACAAAGAGAAGCGACCUCGCGAGAGCAAGCGGACCUCAUAAAGUGCGUCGUANUCCGGAUUGGAGUCUGCAACUCGACUCCAUGAAGUCGGAAUCGCUANUAAUCGUAGAUCAGAAUGCUACGGUGAAUACNUUCCCGGGUCUUGUACACACCG
RNAcentral lists this ribosomal RNA (408 nucleotides) under Enterobacter sp. LGISU. Its description in RNAcentral is "bacterial SSU rRNA". It matches the Rfam family "Bacterial small subunit ribosomal RNA", at positions 982 to 1392 of the family's 1533-position model. The record is from RNAcentral. Lineage: Bacteria; Pseudomonadati; Pseudomonadota; Gammaproteobacteria; Enterobacterales; Enterobacteriaceae.